Long non-coding RNA from Cryptomeria japonica (Japanese cedar), 695 nucleotides. RefSeq lists it as uncharacterized. Lineage: Eukaryota; Viridiplantae; Streptophyta; Pinopsida; Cupressales; Cupressaceae. The record is from RefSeq and is a predicted model, not a curated record. The transcript is spliced from 2 exons.
CAUCCUGACCUCCACAAUGACCACAUCUUUCAUCACGCUUCCUUUUUCCUACAAAAAGGGAGAUGACAGAUCAAUUUAGAAAACUCCACCUGUUUGGAUUCAAAUUAAAAUCUUUGCUAAUAUUGACUAAACCCCACCUGCAGCUGCCAGCGCAGAGUUUUUAUCUGUUGUCUAACGGUCAAUACCCCAAUAACGUUGCCCACGCAGAGAAAACCGUGUGCUGAUUUCAAUUCUUGAUAAAUACCCACUUCUGAACCAAUCUCUGCACCAUGCAAGCUCUCAGGAGAACGGGUUUGAAAAGAAGUAUUUUUGUGAAGGAUUGGAAUUUGUAAGUUUUAGCUUUGGCAACAUGUCAAACAUGGUUUUUAUCAGCUCAAUCAUGGUGAUGGUGUUGAGCAUGAUUGGUGUCAUGGGAGUGAGUGCUCAACAUGUUCCAUCCCCUGCGCCUGCCCCUACCAGCGAUGGGAGCACCAUAGAUCAAGGAAUUGCCUACAUUCUCAUGCUGGUGGCCCUGCUUCUCACCUAUUUCCUGCACUGAUUGAUGCCACACAAGACAGAAUAUGCUUUUCCACUUUUUUCGGAUCACAGAGAUUGUUUUGCUGAUGUAAAUUUGUAAGUUUGAUGUAAGGGCUACUGGAUCACCCCUGCUGUAAAUCAAGUUUCAGAAAGAUUGAUAUCCAAUUCUUUAUUCAUUA